Molecule: long non-coding RNA, 455 nt
Filed under: Mytilus galloprovincialis (Mediterranean mussel)
Lineage: Eukaryota; Metazoa; Mollusca; Bivalvia; Mytilida; Mytilidae
Source: RNAcentral
UAUAGGUAAAAUACACUAAUAAACCUAGAGCGCAUAAGUCAAUGUCAACACUAGUAUUGUUGAAUUAUUAGAGUAUAUUGCUAUUAUUUUGUUGCGUGUUUCCUGUAGUAUUUUUUCAUUACUCAUAUUACAUAUCUAUUGUCUGUGUAUUGCAUAUAUAUAUAUUGUUUGUAUGGCUAUAUGCCCUCCUAGGGGCCCUUAUUUGGUGAAUUAAAAAAAAUCUUUUCUAUUUUUCUAUUCUAUAAGAUAGGCAUCCAACCCUACCUGUAAUUUUUCACAUACAUGUGAGUUAGAAUUAGUCCUGUCACAUUAUAAGGUUUUCAAUGAAUUGCAAUUUGCAUAUUUCCUUCGAUUACAAAAAAAAUCGAUAUCCUUUUCGGUUCUUUUCGGUCCUUUUCGGUCCUUUUCGGUUCUUUUCUGUAAAUCGUCGCUCUUUUCUGUAAGUCGUCGAACCC